Molecule: ribosomal RNA, 495 nt
Filed under: uncultured bacterium
Lineage: Bacteria
Description: bacterial SSU rRNA
Rfam family: Bacterial small subunit ribosomal RNA
Source: RNAcentral
AGAGUUUGAUCCUGGCUCAGGAUGAACGCUGGCGGCGUGCUUAACACAUGCAAGUCGAACGAAGUUAGAGAGCUUGCUUUUAAACUUAGUGGCGGACGGGUGAGUAACGCGUGGGUAACCUGCCUUUCACAGGGGGAUAACAGUUAGAAAUGACUGCUAAUACCGCAUAAGCGCACAGGACGGCAUCGUCUAGUGUGAAAAAACUCCGGUGGUGAAAGAUGGACCCGCGUCUGAUUAGCUAGUUGGUGAGGUAACGGCUCACCAAGGCGACGAUCAGUAGCCGGCCUGAGAGGGUGAACGGCCACAUUGGGACUGAGACACGGCCCAAACUCCUACGGGAGGCAGCAGUGGGGAAUAUUGCACAAUGGGGGAAACCCUGAUGCAAGCGACGCCGCGUGAGUGAAGAAGUAUUUCGGUAUGUAAAGCUCUAUCAGCAGGGAAGAAAAUGACGGUACCUGACUAAGAAGCCCCGGCUAACUACGUGCCAGCAGCCGC